GAUGAGGCUGCCAAGGAGCUAGAAUCUUGUGCAGGAGCUGUAGAUCUCGCAGCUGAUCUUGAUAAACUUCAAGGGAGGUGGAAAUUGAUAUACAGCAGUGCAUUCUCAUCUCGUACUCUUGGUGGAAGUCGUCCUGGACCCCCCACUGGAAGACUUCUUCCCAUCACUCUUGGUCAGGUAUUUCAAAGAAUCGAUGUACUGAGCAAAGAUUUUGACAACAUAGUGGAGCUUGAAUUAGGUGCUCCGUGGCCUUUCCCGCCUGUUGAAGCAACUGCCACUUUAGCCCACAAAUUUGAACUUAUAGGAUCAUCUACGAUUAAGAUUAUAUUCGAGAAAACUACAGUGAAGACAACUGGAAAUUUAUCACAGCUCCCACCAUUAGAAGUGCCUCGCAUACCAGAUCAGUUCAGGCCACCAUCAAAUACAGGAAGUGGUGAGUUUGAAGUUACCUACAUCGAUUCUGAUACACGAGUAACAAGGGGAGACAGAGGAGAGCUUAGAGUUUUCGUUAUCUCAUAAGUUAAGCUGCAAUGAAUAUAGUCUUCCUACAAUGUUUUGUUGCUACAAUUUCAUGUAACAACAUAUCAAAUGUGUAGAUAUGCUCAACAUUAUUCUGCUGGUCACAGCUAUCAAAUCUGUAAUGCUA
Molecule: unclassified non-coding RNA, 646 nt
Filed under: Hevea brasiliensis (rubber tree)
Lineage: Eukaryota; Viridiplantae; Streptophyta; Magnoliopsida; Malpighiales; Euphorbiaceae
Source: RNAcentral